CACUAAAAUGAGGGACAGAGAGAAACUAUUUUCCCUCUGUCCCUACUUUUAGUGC
This 55-nucleotide microRNA precursor is filed under the name Ciona intestinalis (vase tunicate). RNAcentral describes it as "microRNA cin-mir-4200 precursor". Lineage: Eukaryota; Metazoa; Chordata; Ascidiacea; Phlebobranchia; Cionidae. The record is from miRBase by way of RNAcentral.